RNAcentral lists this ribosomal RNA (422 nucleotides) under uncultured bacterium. RNAcentral's name for it is "bacterial SSU rRNA". It matches the Rfam family "Bacterial small subunit ribosomal RNA", at positions 355 to 774 of the family's 1533-position model. The record is from RNAcentral.
UGAGGAAUAUUGGGCAAUGCCCGCAAGGGUGACCCAGCAACGCCGCGUGGAGGAUGAAUGUCGUAAGAUUGUAAACUCCUGUUAGAGGGGAAGAAUAGUACCGGUUGGACCGGUAUAUGACUGUACCCUCAGAGAAAGCCCCGGCUAACUACGUGCCAGCAGCCGCGGUAAUACGUAGGGGGCAAGCGUUGUCCGGAUUUACUGGGCGUAAAGGGCGCGCAGGCGGGAUAAAAAGUCAGUGGUGAAAUCCUACAGCUUAACUGUAGAACUGCCUUUGAUACUUUUAUUCUUGAGUUCGGGAGAGAGAGACGGAAUUCCAGGUGUAGUGGUGAAAUACGUAGAUAUCGGGAGGAACACCAGUGGCGAAGGCGGCCUUCUGGACCAGUACUGACGCUCAUGCACGAAAGCGUGGGGAGCAAACA